GCCAGUCAUGGUGGUGCAUGCCUGUAGUCUUAGCUACUUGGGAGGCUGAGGUGGGAGGAUCGCUUGAGCCCAGGAGUUCAAGGUUGCAGUGAGCUGUAAUUGUGCCACUGCACUCCAACCUGGGUGACAGAGUGAGAGCCCAUCUCUU
This 148-nucleotide non-coding RNA is filed under the name Nomascus leucogenys (northern white-cheeked gibbon). The record is from Rfam by way of RNAcentral. Lineage: Eukaryota; Metazoa; Chordata; Mammalia; Primates; Hylobatidae.